ACACAUGGAUUUAAGUUUUGUGAGUUUUUUGUACACCAAUCUUUGUAUGAUGAUGUUUACCUUUCUGAAAAUUUUAAGGUUUAAAAAAUUCAUAAAAAGGAAUAAAUUUAGAAAUGACACUAAAAAUAAAUUUGAACCCAAGAAAAAAUAAGUCAUAUGCUACAAAUGCAAGAAGUUGGGACAUUUUAAAAGUGAAUGUCCCCAAGCAAAG
Molecule: long non-coding RNA, 211 nt
Filed under: Musa acuminata (dwarf banana)
Lineage: Eukaryota; Viridiplantae; Streptophyta; Magnoliopsida; Zingiberales; Musaceae
Description: long non-coding RNA (MACU_LNC011586)
Source: RNAcentral